GAUGAACGCUGGCGGCGUGCCUAAUACAUGCAAGUCGAGCGAAUGGAUUAAGAGCUUGCUCUUAUGAAGUUAGCGGCGGACGGGUGAGUAACACGUGAGUAACCUGCCCAUAAGACUGGGAUAAUUCCGGGAAACCGGGGCUAAUACCGGAUAACAUUUUGAACCGCAUGGUUCGAAAUUGAAAGGCGGCUUCGGCUGUCACUUAUGGAUGGACCCGCGUCGCAUUAGCUAGUUGGUGAGGUAACGGCUCACCAAGGCAACGAUGCGUAGCCGACCUGAGAGGGUGAUCGGCCACACUGGGACUGAGACACGGCCCAGACUCCUACGGGAGGCAGCAGUAGGGAAUCUUCCGCAAUGGACGAAAGUCUGACGGAGCAACGCCGCGUGAGUGAUGAAGGCUUUCGGGUCGUAAAACUCUGUUGUUAGGGAAGAGCAAGUGCUAGUUGAAUAAGCUGGCACCUUGACGGUACCUAACCAGAAAGCCACGGCUAACUACGUGCCAGCCGCCGCCGUAA
Molecule: ribosomal RNA, 515 nt
Filed under: uncultured bacterium
Lineage: Bacteria
Description: partial 16S ribosomal RNA
Rfam family: Bacterial small subunit ribosomal RNA
Source: RNAcentral